Molecule: ribosomal RNA, 2899 nt
Filed under: Shigella sonnei 3233-85
Lineage: Bacteria; Pseudomonadati; Pseudomonadota; Gammaproteobacteria; Enterobacterales; Enterobacteriaceae
Description: bacterial LSU rRNA
Rfam family: Bacterial large subunit ribosomal RNA
Source: RNAcentral
UAAGCGACUAAGCGUACACGGUGGAUGCCCUGGCAGUCAGAGGCGAUGAAGGACGUGCUAAUCUGCGAUAAGCGUCGGUAAGGUGAUAUGAACCGUUAUAACCGGCGAUUUCCGAAUGGGGAAACCCAGUGUGUUUCGACACACUAUCAUUAACUGAAUCCAUAGGUUAAUGAGGCGAACCGGGGGAACUGAAACAUCUAAGUACCCCGAGGAAAAGAAAUCAACCGAGAUUCCCCCAGUAGCGGCGAGCGAACGGGGAGGAGCCCAGAGCCUGAAUCAGUGUGUGUGUUAGUGGAAGCGUCUGGAAAGGCGCGCGAUACAGGGUGACAGCCCCGUACACAAAAAUACACAUAUUGUGAGCUCGAUGAGUAGGGCGGGACACGUGGUAUCCUGUCUGAAUAUGGGGGACCAUCCUCCAAGGCUAAAUACUCCUGACUGACCGAUAGUGAACCAGUACCGUGAGGGAAAGGCGAAAAGAACCCCGGCGAGGGGAGUGAAAAAGAACCUGAAACCGUGUACGUACAAGCAGUGGGAGCACGCUUAGGCGUGUGACUGCGUACCUUUUGUAUAAUGGGUCAGCGACUUAUAUUCUGUAGCAAGGUUAACCGAAUAGGGGAGCCGAAGGGAAACCGAGUCUUAACUGGGCGUUAAGUUGCAGGGUAUAGACCCGAAACCCGGUGAUCUAGCCAUGGGCAGGUUGAAGGUUGGGUAACACUAACUGGAGGACCGAACCGACUAAUGUUGAAAAAUUAGCGGAUGACUUGUGGCUGGGGGUGAAAGGCCAAUCAAACCGGGAGAUAGCUGGUUCUCCCCGAAAGCUAUUUAGGUAGCGCCUCGUGAAUUCAUCUCCGGGGGUAGAGCACUGUUUCGGCAAGGGGGUCAUCCCGACUUACCAACCCGAUGCAAACUGCGAAUACCGGAGAAUGUUAUCACGGGAGACACACGGCGGGUGCUAACGUCCGUCGUGAAGAGGGAAACAACCCAGACCGCCAGCUAAGGUCCCAAAGUCAUGGUUAAGUGGGAAACGAUGUGGGAAGGCCCAGACAGCCAGGAUGUUGGCUUAGAAGCAGCCAUCAUUUAAAGAAAGCGUAAUAGCUCACUGGUCGAGUCGGCCUGCGCGGAAGAUGUAACGGGGCUAAACCAUGCACCGAAGCUGCGGCAGCGACGCUUAUGCGUUGUUGGGUAGGGGAGCGUUCUGUAAGCCUGCGAAGGUGUGCUGUGAGGCAUGCUGGAGGUAUCAGAAGUGCGAAUGCUGACAUAAGUAACGAUAAAGCGGGUGAAAAGCCCGCUCGCCGGAAGACCAAGGGUUCCUGUCCAACGUUAAUCGGGGCAGGGUGAGUCGACCCCUAAGACGAGGCCGAAAGGCGUAGUCGAUGGGAAACAGGUUAAUAUUCCUGUACUUGGUGUUACUGCGAAGGGGGGACGGAGAAGGCUAUGUUGGCCGGGCGACGGUUGUCCCGGUUUAAGCGUGUAGGCUGGUUUUCCAGGCAAAUCCGGAAAAUCAAGGCUGAGGCGUGAUGACGAGGCACUACGGUGCUGAAGCAACAAAUGCCCUGCUUCCAGGAAAAGCCUCUAAGCAUCAGGUAACAUCAAAUCGUACCCCAAACCGACACAGGUGGUCAGGUAGAGAAUACCAAGGCGCUUGAGAGAACUCGGGUGAAGGAACUAGGCAAAAUGGUGCCGUAACUUCGGGAGAAGGCACGCUGAUAUGUAGGUGAAGUCCCUUGCGGAUGGAGCUGAAAUCAGUCGAAGAUACCAGCUGGCUGCAACUGUUUAUUAAAAACACAGCACUGUGCAAACACGAAAGUGGACGUAUACGGUGUGACGCCUGCCCGGUGCCGGAAGGUUAAUUGAUGGGGUCAGCGCAAGCGAAGCUCUUGAUCGAAGCCCCGGUAAACGGCGGCCGUAACUAUAACGGUCCUAAGGUAGCGAAAUUCCUUGUCGGGUAAGUUCCGACCUGCACGAAUGGCGUAAUGAUGGCCAGGCUGUCUCCACCCGAGACUCAGUGAAAUUGAACUCGCUGUGAAGAUGCAGUGUACCCGCGGCAAGACGGAAAGACCCCGUGAACCUUUACUAUAGCUUGACACUGAACAUUGAGCCUUGAUGUGUAGGAUAGGUGGGAGGCUUUGAAGUGUGGACGCCAGUCUGCAUGGAGCCGGCCUUGAAAUACCACCCUUUAAUGUUUGAUGUUCUAACGUGGACCCGUGAUCCGGGUUGCGGACAGUGUCUGGUGGGUAGUUUGACUGGGGCGGUCUCCUCCUAAAGAGUAACGGAGGAGCACGAAGGUUGGCUAAUCCUGGUCGGACAUCAGGAGGUUAGUGCAAUGGCAUAAGCCAGCUUGACUGCGAGCGUGACGGCGCGAGCAGGUGCGAAAGCAGGUCAUAGUGAUCCGGUGGUUCUGAAUGGAAGGGCCAUCGCUCAACGGAUAAAAGGUACUCCGGGGAUAACAGGCUGAUACCGCCCAAGAGUUCAUAUCGACGGCGGUGUUUGGCACCUCGAUGUCGGCUCAUCACAUCCUGGGGCUGAAGUAGGUCCCAAGGGUAUGGCUGUUCGCCAUUUAAAGUGGUACGCGAGCUGGGUUUAGAACGUCGUGAGACAGUUCGGUCCCUAUCUGCCGUGGGCGCUGGAGAACUGAGGGGGGCUGCUCCUAGUACGAGAGGACCGGAGUGGACGCAUCACUGGUGUUCGGGUUGUCAUGCCAAUGGCACUGCCCGGUAGCUAAAUGCGGAAGAGAUAAGUGCUGAAAGCAUCUAAGCACGAAACUUGCCCCGAGAUGAGUUCUCCCUGACCCUUUAAGGGUCCUGAAGGAACGUUGAAGACGACGACGUUGAUAGGCCGGGUGUGUAAGCGCAGCGAUGCGUUGAGCUAACCGGUACUAAUGAACCGUGAGGCUUAACCU